GCUUUAUUACAACAUUUUCAAGCGGUCGUAUGGGGAGUUAUCCGGGGACGCCAUGCUCUCCAGCCUUCACUUGAUGCGUACAACAAAAAGGAAGGGGCAGAGUGCGGGAAGAUUGCAGAUUCUAAGAACGCCAUCAUUGUUUCAUGCAGUCCCCUCAUGAGGCGAGUCCAUUCAAUGGUCCCUGAGAGUGCAGAGAUUGUCUUUGUGGACUCUUCUGGGAAUUGUGACAGAACUAAUAGCAGAGUGUUCCUGAUCUUGACCCACUCAGCCAUUGGAGGACUGCCCUUGGGUGUGAUGAUGACAUAAUCCGAGUCUCAAAUUGUCAUCGCUGCAGGACUGCAGCUCCUCAAGAGCAUUCUUCCAGAGGACGCAUUUUUUCGCAGACGAGAGCUCGGUCCACAAGUGGUGAUGACUGAUGACUGCCAGGCAUUACGGCAGGCCCUCAGCGAGUGUUAUACACAGACUACGCCCAUCCUCUGUGUUUUCCACAUUUUGCAGGCGAUGUGGAGGUGGCUGUGGGAUGCACACAAUGUGGUACCAAAGUCUGACCGUCAACACCUGCUACAGCUCUUCAAGGCUAUGGUGUACGCAAAAAAUCCGGGAGAACGGCCUCAUAUCAUGGGGCUCUAGAGGACUCCACGGCAAAGCUUCACCCACGAUACUGCAAAUAUCUAACAGGUAUUUUCAGCAGACGUGAGGCCUCGGAUGUCUCCUUUGAUGUGACACUGUAGGAGGAUAAGGUGAACUUCAUGGUUGACACCCACAAAGAACAGAAACUCACACCAGCUGCCAGGAAGGGAUUUUAUAAAAUUGCCACAGAUUCCCUUUGUGCAGCUGCAGCGGAGAGCCUAGAAAGCCCAGCCCGUGGAGUGGACGAGGCUAGCAUUAGUGAUGGCUGCUCAGCUGGUGAGGAAUCAUCGGAACAAACCAGGCAGAGGCUGGAAAUUCGGGUCAGGGGGAUGAUGGAGGGCAUCAUUGAAAAUUUACAGUCUGGGUUUGACUUGUACAAGGCUCCCAUGGAGAAGAUGCUGGCCUCCUAUGACAGAAUGACAACAGACAGCCAGCUAAUCUCUGCACUGGCCACAUUUGGCCGCAAAGUGCCCCUGCCGGAUCAGGGGCAUGGAGGAUGGCGAGAAGGGGCAUGCAAACAAGCAUGA
Molecule: long non-coding RNA, 1157 nt
Filed under: Gadus morhua (Atlantic cod)
Lineage: Eukaryota; Metazoa; Chordata; Actinopteri; Gadiformes; Gadidae
Description: lncRNA (ENSGMOG00000033434.1)
Source: RNAcentral